AACGCACAUUGCGCCCUCUGGUAUUCCGGGGGGCAUGCCUGUUCGAGCGUCAUUUUAGACCAUCAAGCCUUGGCUUGGCAUUGGGCGCCGUCCCCGUAGCGGACGCGCCUCAAAGACCUCGGCGGCGGCGCGGAGCCUCAAGCGUAGUAGAAAUAUCCCGCUUACGGAGGAGUCGUGUCGCCCGCUCCUAAAGACCAAACAUUCAAAGGUUGACCUCGGAUCAGGUAGGGAUACCCGCUGAACUUAA
This 247-nucleotide unclassified non-coding RNA is filed under the name uncultured fungus. Its description in RNAcentral is "partial contains 5.8S ribosomal RNA, internal transcribed spacer 2, and large subunit ribosomal RNA". The stretch from base 1 to 52 matches the Rfam family "5.8S ribosomal RNA", at positions 103 to 154 of the family's 154-position model. The record is from RNAcentral. Lineage: Eukaryota; Fungi.